GGAGGGGUACUCAAGUGGCUGAAGAGGCGGGAUUGCUAAUCCUGUAGGGGGACGUCAGUCCCCGCGGGGGUUCGAAUCCCCCCCCCUCCGCCA
This 93-nucleotide transfer RNA is filed under the name Candidatus Peregrinibacteria bacterium HGW-Peregrinibacteria-1. RNAcentral describes it as "tRNA-Ser". It matches the Rfam family "tRNA". From Rfam's summary of the family: Transfer RNA (tRNA) molecules are approximately 80 nucleotides in length. Lineage: Bacteria; Candidatus Peregrinibacteriota. The record is from RNAcentral.